UACAGAGGUCUCAAGCGUUGUUCGGAUUCAUUGGGCGUAAAGGGUGUGUAGGUGGCGCCGUAAGUCGGGUGUGAAAUUUCGGAGCUUAACUCCGAAACUGCAUUCGAUACUGCGGUGCUUGAGUCCGGGAGAGGUGAGUGGAACUGCGAGUGUAGAGGUGAAAUUCGUAGAUAUUGGGAAGAACACCGGUGGCGAAGGCGGCGACCUGGUUCAUUACUGACGCUGAGGCGCGAAAGCGUGGGGAGCAAACAGG
Molecule: ribosomal RNA, 253 nt
Filed under: uncultured bacterium
Lineage: Bacteria
Description: partial 16S ribosomal RNA
Rfam family: Bacterial small subunit ribosomal RNA
Source: RNAcentral